UACGAAGGGGGCUAGCGUUGCUCGGAAUUACUGGGCGUAAAGGGCGCGUAGGCGGAUAGUUUAGUUGGGGGUGAAAGCCCGGGGCUCAACCUCGGAAUUGCCUUCAAUACUGGCUAUCUUGAGUGUGAGAGAGGUGUGUGGAACUCCGAGUGUAGAGGUGAAAUUCGUAGAUAUUCGGAAGAACACCAGUGGCGAAGGCGACUCGCUGGACAGGUAUUGACGCUGAGGUGCGAAAGCGUGGGGAGCAAACAGG
RNAcentral lists this ribosomal RNA (253 nucleotides) under uncultured bacterium. Its description in RNAcentral is "partial 16S ribosomal RNA". It matches the Rfam family "Bacterial small subunit ribosomal RNA", at positions 524 to 776 of the family's 1533-position model. The record is from RNAcentral.